UCCCGUUAGUAAGAGCGAACAGUUAAGACGGAGGAAGGACAGUGCUUAGAGGCAGGCGGUUGGUCCCUUAUAAAUGGCGGCACGGUGGGUGAAUGGGAGUGCGCGGCUUGGUGUGUAGGCCUAAGAAAAGUGCAUAGACCUCUCAUGAACCCGUGGAAAGGAGGGCAUGAACCGUGAGGCGCCUGUGAGUAUGUUGAUAUCGAAAGGAUUGGAUAAAACGUAGCAAGAAGACCAUGCACACAAGAAAGCGAUGCAAAAGUGUAAGGAAAGUAAUAAAAAGUAAUAAAAAAAUGUAAAUGAAAGAAAAAUUUAAAGCUCCGUAGAAGAAAAGUUAUAUAGAGUUUGAAUGAAAUGAAAAAAAAGGAAAAGAAAAAAAAACUACUACUAAACUGCCCAAGUAAAAGUUAAAGAGAAUAAAGAAAAAAAGCGAGUUUGAAAGACAGGGGAGAAUAUUAAGUAAGAAUAAUAAAAAAAAAUAAUCAAGUAAGAAAAAAAAGAGCAAAAUUUGCCUUAUUUACGUAAAACUAUAAAAUGUUAAAAAAAAAGGUUAAUGAAAGUUAUGAAAAUGCUGGAAAAUGAGAUAGAGAGAAGUGAAAGUAGAAUAAUCAGGGAAACGAGUGGAGAAAAAAAAAAGAUAGUGAAGAAAUAAGAUAAUAGAAGAUAAUAGAACUGAGGUGAGGUUGUAAGAAAAGAGUUAAUAGUAAAGUACUAAAAUUUAUAAGAAAAAUUGAAGAGUUCGGAUAAAUUUAGUGGUGCUUCUUUUAAAAUAAAGAUAAUUGGAAAGAAAGAGGAGGAGGUGGGGUAGUGUGUGUGUGUGUGUGUGUGUGUGUGUGUGUGUGUGUGUGUGUGUGUGUCUGGGUUAGUGUGAAUGACAAGUUAAAAGGUCAUGAUCACUUUUUGACACACACACACACACACACACACACACACACACACACACACACACACACACACACACACACACACACACACACACACACACACACACACACACACACACACACACACACACGGCCUGUUUCUGGAGUUCUAAAAAGUGUGUCUUAGCCUUCGCGUGAGUGAAAGUUGUUCGCAAUUUUAAGAAAAACACACGAAAUGAGAAAAACAAGAAAAAUAAACUACAAGCUAGAAGAGUUUGAAGUGUAGCAAGAGGAAAGAAGAGGAACCAGGAGAGGAAAAAGACGAGAAAUGUGUCUGCUUGGGGACUGAGGGUCAGGGGCAUGAAGGGGGUGAUGGGCGGAGUGUGGCCGCGGCCUCGGGCGCCGCAUGACGGUAUAUAAGAAAGGCUGGGAUGGGCAGCCGUCACUCGCAUCCCAGUUACUCCUUCAUUCACUUCCCUCACUCACUCAAGAACUCGUAGUCAUGAGGUGCCUACUUAUGGUGGUCUGCCUGGCUGUCAUGGCCGCCGUGGCUCAGGCUAUGACCAGCCUGGGACGUGGUGGACUUGGCUCAGGGUUUGGUUACAUUAGCGGAUAUGACGGACACGGCGGACUUGGCAGCUUCGG
Scylla paramamosain (green mud crab) is the source of this 1505-nucleotide long non-coding RNA. RefSeq lists it as uncharacterized. The transcript has 4 exons. Lineage: Eukaryota; Metazoa; Arthropoda; Malacostraca; Decapoda; Portunidae. The record is from RefSeq and is a predicted model, not a curated record.